RNAcentral lists this ribosomal RNA (701 nucleotides) under Bacillus sp. (in: firmicutes). Its description in RNAcentral is "bacterial SSU rRNA". It matches the Rfam family "Bacterial small subunit ribosomal RNA", at positions 331 to 1024 of the family's 1533-position model. The record is from RNAcentral. Lineage: Bacteria; Bacillati; Bacillota; Bacilli; Caryophanales; Bacillaceae.
CCCUACUCCUACGGGAGGCAGCAGUAGGGAAUCUUCCGCAAUGGACGAAAGUCUGACGGAGCAACGCCGCGUGAGUGAUGAAGGUUUUCGGAUCGUAAAGCUCUGUUGUUAGGGAAGAACAAGUGCGAGAGUAACUGCUCGCACCUUGACGGUACCUAACCAGAAAGCCACGGCUAACUACGUGCCAGCAGCCGCGGUAAUACGUAGGUGGCAAGCGUUGUCCGGAAUUAUUGGGCGUAAAGGGCUCGCAGGCGGUUUCUUAAGUCUGAUGUGAAAGCCCCCGGCUCAACCGGGGAGGGUCAUUGGAAACUGGGAAACUUGAGUGCAGAAGAGGAGAGUGGAAUUCCACGUGUAGCGGUGAAAUGCGUAGAGAUGUGGAGGAACACCAGUGGCGAAGGCGACUCUCUGGUCUGUAACUGACGCUGAGGAGCGAAAGCGUGGGGAGCGAACAGGAUUAGAUACCCUGGUAGUCCACGCCGUAAACGAUGAGUGCUAAGUGUUAGGGGGUUUCCGCCCCUUAGUGCUGCAGCUAACGCAUUAAGCACUCCGCCUGGGGAGUACGGUCGCAAGACUGAAACUCAAAGGAAUUGACGGGGGCCCGCACAAGCGGUGGAGCAUGUGGUAUAAUUCGAAGCAACGCGAAGAACCUUACCAGGUCUUGACAUCCUCUGACAACCCUAGAGAUAGGGCUUCCCUUUAGG